Molecule: long non-coding RNA, 613 nt
Organism: Spea bombifrons (plains spadefoot toad)
Lineage: Eukaryota; Metazoa; Chordata; Amphibia; Anura; Pelobatidae
Exons: 2
Source: RefSeq, a predicted model, not a curated record
GUUAAUAUUUUUUUAUAGAUUACCUGGUUGAAUGUGCUGUUAUCAUGUGGCUCGGCCCAGGCACUCUGAGAUCCUCAAAACAAAGGACAGUAAUGGAGGACCGAGACAAAAUUACAUUUUAAAAAGGUUAUUUGGGAAGCGUGAUUAAAUCCAUUGUUUUCAUGGAAGCAUUGAACUUCAUGAACAUAUGAAGAGGUUACUUAAAUGCAGAAAGAUAGUGUUAUUUUUUUUAACCUUACUAUUUAAGUGUGUAAGCCCGUUGUGUAGGAGCCACUAAAAUAUUAUGACUAUACAAAUUCUUUUGUGGUGUUUUUAUGUGUAUUUAAUGUCCAUGUUUUCCAUGACUGUAUGUGGAAUUUUCUGGGUCAGUGGAAAUCUCAAUACUACUGUUUCCAUUUGUAGAAAAGUCAAAUUAUUUUAAAGAGAUGAAAACGGAGAAGUUAUCCAGGACCGGUUGGAGAAAAGCAAAAUCCUCAGAUCCGAUCAGAGACCGAGCCCGGGUGGCAAUCGACUGCGACCGAGCGGGAAGCUUUGUCUACAGUUACUGAUGUUGGGUACGUUGACCAAGUUUGCUGAAGAACCAUCUAAUAAAGUCUUCGUGACGCCUUAUGGU